Molecule: ribosomal RNA, 460 nt
Filed under: uncultured bacterium
Lineage: Bacteria
Description: partial 16S ribosomal RNA
Rfam family: Bacterial small subunit ribosomal RNA
Source: RNAcentral
CCUACGGGAGGCUGCAGUGAGGAAUAUUGGUCAAUGGACGAGAGUCUGAACCAGCCAAGUAGCGUGAAGGAUGACUGCCCUAUGUGUUGUAAACUUCUUUUAUAUGGGAAUAAAAUGUUCCACGUGUGGGCUUUUGUAUGUACCAUAUGAAUAAGGAUCGGCUAACUCCGUGCCAGCAGCCGCGGUAAUACGGAGGAUCCGAGCGUUAUCCGGAUUUAUUGGGUUUAAAGGGAGCGUAGGUGGACUGUUAAGUCAGGUGUGAAAGUUUGCGGCUCAACCGUAAAAUUGCAGUUGAAACUGGCAGUCUUGCGUACAGUAGAGGUGGGCGGAAUUCGUGGUGUAGCGGUGAAAUGCUUAGAUAUCACGAAGAACUCCGAUUGCGAAGGCAGCUCACUGGACUGCAACUGACACUGAGGCUCGAAAGUGUGGGUAUCAAACAGGAGUAGAUACUCUGGUAGUC